RNAcentral lists this ribosomal RNA (596 nucleotides) under bacterium 4d82709C. Its description in RNAcentral is "bacterial SSU rRNA". It matches the Rfam family "Bacterial small subunit ribosomal RNA", at positions 332 to 938 of the family's 1533-position model. The record is from RNAcentral.
CAGACUCCUACGGGAGGCAGCAGUGGGGAAUAUUGCACAAUGGGCGAAAGCCUGAUGCAGCGACGCCGCGUGAGGGAUGACGGCCUUCGGGUUGUAAACCUCUUUCAGCAGGGAAGAAGCGARAGUGACGGUACCUGCAGAAGAAGCGCCGGCUAACUACGUGCCAGCAGCCGCGGUAAUACGUAGGGCGCAAGCGUUGUCCGGAAUUAUUGGGCGUAAAGAGCUCGUAGGCGGCUUGUCACGUCGGUUGUGAAAGCCCGGGGCUUAACCCCGGGUCUGCAGUCGAUACGGGCAGGCUAGAGUUCGGUAGGGGAGAUCGGAAUUCCUGGUGUAGCGGUGAAAUGCGCAGAUAUCAGGAGGAACACCGGUGGCGAAGGCGGAUCUCUGGGCCGAUACUGACGCUGAGGAGCGAAAGCGUGGGGAGCGAACAGGAUUAGAUACCCUGGUAGUCCACGCCGUAAACGGUGGGCACUAGGUGUGGGCAACAUUCCACGUUGUCCGUGCCGCAGCUAACGCAUUAAGUGCCCCGCCUGGGGAGUACGGCCGCAAGGCUAAAACUCAAAGGAAUUGACGGGGGCCCGCACAAGCAGCGGAGC